AGCUUAUCUUUUGGCAGUUCCUUCUUCACCCUUCCAAAUCCACACAACAGCACGGGAACCAUCCAGGAGCUGGACUAGAGGCACAAGGCGUCAGCAAUUUGGGCCAUUCCAUCUGGUUAUGGCUCCUCGACUUACACAGGCCGUGGUCCACAAAAGAGGUUUCUGUAAGAAGUUGACCCUACCAGAGGAGCCCUCAGUCUCACAUCUAAGUUUGGAGGGAAGAUUACAAACUGUUCACUCAACUUGACAGAAUGGAAUCAUAUAGUGGGCAGCAGAGACGGCGAGAUUUUAAUCUCAAGCAAAGAGGAGCUUUUUAGAGAUGAAACUUCUUUAAAGCAUCUUAAGGCAAAUGGGGCAGUUGAUAAAGGAAGCUUGUGCUAUAAAAACCGCCAUGGAUAAUGGAACUUCGGCAGCAUUGGACACGCAGUGUGGACCCGAGUUUCUGAACUCAUGUGCCCACAGUGAUCUGCUUGGGUGAAGCUGGGACCCGCGUAGCCGCACAUGCAGAUGCCGAAAUCCACUAUCCUCCAUGGAGACAGACACCGUCAAGGACAAGCACCUGGACUAUCUCCUGCCGCAAAGAGAUACGGGCUGGUGGGAAAGCUGCUGACCAGCAAGAUCAUGAGCUCCCUCCUGUCUGCAAGUAGUCUCAAGGCCAAAGACAGGCUGGUGGGAAAGCUCUGACCAGCAAGGCCAUAUGCUCCCCCUCCCCUACCUAAAGCCCCAAAUAAAAACCCUUCCUUUUAGCUUUCCGGGGAGUUUGAGAUUUGAGCAUUAGCUGCCCUCUCUCCUUGCUCAGCACCGUGCAAAAAUAAAAUUCCUACUUUCUUCCACCACACCCGGUGUCAGAGAUUGGCUUGCUGCGCAACGGGUGAGCGAACUUACUUCAGGUUCGGUAACAGCA
This 904-nucleotide long non-coding RNA is filed under the name Equus caballus (horse). RNAcentral's name for it is "lncRNA (ENSECAG00000036062.3)". The record is from RNAcentral. Lineage: Eukaryota; Metazoa; Chordata; Mammalia; Perissodactyla; Equidae.